GGAUUAGCUCAAUUGGUAGAGCAGCUGACUCUUAAUCAGUUGGUUCGGGGUUCAAGUCCCC
This 61-nucleotide transfer RNA is filed under the name marine eukaryotic metagenome. It matches the Rfam family "tRNA", at positions 8 to 62 of the family's 71-position model. From Rfam's summary of the family: Transfer RNA (tRNA) molecules are approximately 80 nucleotides in length. Their secondary structure includes four short double-helical elements and three loops (D, anti-codon, and T loops). Further hydrogen bonds mediate the characteristic L-shaped molecular structure. tRNAs have two regions of fundamental functional importance: the anti-codon, which is responsible for specific mRNA codon recognition, and the 3' end, to which the tRNAs corresponding amino acid is attached (by aminoacyl-tRNA synthetases). tRNAs cope with the degeneracy of the genetic code in two manners: having more than one tRNA (with a specific anti-codon) for a particular amino acid; and 'wobble' base-pairing, i.e. permitting non-standard base-pairing at the 3rd anti-codon position. The record is from RNAcentral.